Molecule: ribosomal RNA, 499 nt
Filed under: uncultured bacterium
Lineage: Bacteria
Description: partial 16S ribosomal RNA
Rfam family: Bacterial small subunit ribosomal RNA
Source: RNAcentral
GACGAACGCUGGCGGCGUGCUUAACACAUGCCAGUCGAACGGGCCUGUCUUCUUUUUUGGGGGUGGGUUGAGUGGCGAACGGGUGAGUAUCACGUGAGUAACCUGCCCUUCGGUCCUGGAUAACCGCUUGAAAGGGCGGCUAAUACGGGGUGGUCCGGUUGGUCCGCAUGGGCUGGUCGGGAUAGAUUCACUGUUUUUGGUGUUUCGGCGGGGGAUGGGCUCGCGGCCUAUCAGCUUGUUGGUGGGGUGAUGGCCUACCAAGGCGGUGACGGGUAGCCGGCCUGAGAGGGUGGGCGGCCACACUGGGACUGAGAUACGGCCCAGACUCCUGCGGGAGGCAGCAGUGGGGGGUAUUGCACAAUGGGCGGAAGCCUGAUGCAGCGACGUCGCGUGAGGGAGGGAGGCCUUCGGGUUGUGAACCUCUGUUUCCGGUGGUGAAGGCCCUGUCCGUGUGGUGGGGUUGACGGUAGCCGGGGAUGAAGCGCCGGCUAACUACGUG